GACGAACGCUGGCGGCGUGCCUAAUACAUGCAAGUUGAGCGCUGAAGGUUGGUACUUGUCCCGACUGGAUGAGCAGCGAACGGGUGAGUAACGCGUGGGGAAUCUGCCUUUGAGCGGGGGACAACAUUUGGAAACGAAUGCUAAUACCGCAUAAAAACUUUAAACACAAGUUUUAAGUUUGAAAGAUGCAAUUGCAUCACUCAAAGAUGAUCCCGCGUUGUAUUAGCUAGUUGGUGAGGUAAAGGCUCACCAAGGCGAUGAUACAUAGCCGACCUGAGAGGGUGAUCGGCCACAUUGGGACUGAGACACGGCCCAAACUCCUACGGGAGGCAGCAGUAGGGAAUCUUCGGCAAUGAACGAAAGUCUGACCGAGCAACGCCGCGUGAGUGAAGAAGGUUUUCGGAUCGUAAAACUCUGUUGGUAGAGAAGAACGUUGGUGAGAGUGGAAAGCUCAUCAAGUGACGGUAACUACCCAGAAAGGGACGGCUAACUACGUG
RNAcentral lists this ribosomal RNA (497 nucleotides) under uncultured bacterium. Its description in RNAcentral is "partial 16S ribosomal RNA". It matches the Rfam family "Bacterial small subunit ribosomal RNA", at positions 28 to 507 of the family's 1533-position model. The record is from RNAcentral.